UCUUUUUUUUAUUGCGUCACGCGACGACGCGGUAUGGGCUAAGAAAUAUUUUAGUUUUAUUGUUUUGAAUGAUCGGUGGUCGUUUUAUGCUGUGGUAAAUCAGGGUUUCGCGUUGGUUGAGCUACGAGGAAUUGAAUCACGGAGAAUGGAGCUGGAGGGCAAGGCAUAAGGAGAAACGGAGUGCAGAACAUGUCGGAUGCGAUCAUACCAGCACUAAUGCAUCAGAUCCCAUCAAAACUCCGAAGUUAAGCGUGCUUGGGCGAGAGUAGUACUAGGAUGGGUGACCUCCUGCGAAGUCCUCGUGUUGCAUCCC
RNAcentral lists this ribosomal RNA (313 nucleotides) under Avena agadiriana. The record is from RNAcentral. Lineage: Eukaryota; Viridiplantae; Streptophyta; Magnoliopsida; Poales; Poaceae.